Long non-coding RNA from Apis cerana (Asiatic honeybee), 2386 nucleotides. RefSeq lists it as uncharacterized. The record is from RefSeq and is a predicted model, not a curated record. Lineage: Eukaryota; Metazoa; Arthropoda; Insecta; Hymenoptera; Apidae.
GAUAAAAAUUUCAUAUUAUUUAAAGAAAUUAUUGGUAUGAAACAUCUUUAUUAUUAUACAUUUAUUCCGACAAUCAUAUUUCUUAACAUCGGAUUUUCUUACACAUUUUCUUUUUUUCCAAACCAUUUUUCUUAAUCAAUUUUUUAUUUAAUCAUUUCUUAAAUUUUUUCUUAAUCAAUUACUUUACACGUAAUCUAUCAUAAUUUUUCUUUUUAUCCGUUCUCAUAGAAAGAAAAAAGCGAUAAAGGAAAAGAAAAAAACAUGUAAAUUAGUGACCAUUGUGAAAUAAAUUCAAACAUAUUAAAAUGUGAAGGAUUCGAAAGAAGUGAAACUUCGUAAAGCUUAUCUUAGACAUAUCUUUCCACCAUAAUGCAGCGAUCUUGGUUGACGUGAAGCAUGGGAAUCUUCCGAUAAGGCUAAUUUCCCCAAGGAAAUUCCCGGAGAUUGGGAAAAUCAGUGGCGCAAUCGAUUCGACGCGCCUUGCCUGCAGAGAAAUUAUUCAUUCUCGAUAAAGAGCGUAUUCGUUUGAUAGCGACUGGCACCUGUAGAAUUAUUCGAAUUAAAUAGGUGCUUCCCUUACACUUUCUCUUGUCUGUAAAUCAGCUGCGAUUUUUCGUAAUAUUUGAUUAAAUGGAUGAUAUUUAAACAGUUCAGUCAUAAUUGAAAAUCAUAGUUUUCAAAGCUUUCAUAGUUUCUGACAAAUGUUAGAACUUUUUCCAAUAAAGAUAAAAAUUCAUGAUGAAAUGAAAAUCAAGGAUGAAAUUUUUAUCGAAUCGCUAAUAUUACAAGGUUUAAAUAUUAAAAGGAAUUUUAAUUAUUAAUUAAAAUUUUUUAAUUAAAAUUUAUUAACUCGAUUAAAUUAACUCUUUGACAGUAUAAUAAAAUUACAACAAUUCAAAAGUGGCAAUUUAGAAAAUAAUUAACUUUUUUUAUCAAAAUUUUUUAAAGCUUUAACAUCAAAUAAAAAAAUUAUACAGAAUGCAUUUCAUUUAGAUAUAAAUAUCUUUAUUAUUAAUGGAAAAUUUUUUGAAGUUUACAUUAACAUUAUCUGAUUUUUUAAAUAGAGCUACAUACUUUUAUAUGAUAACUAAAAUCAAAAUAUUCCAAUUAUUUACACAAGUAUUAUUUAAAUAUUAAUGUUUUAUACCGGUGACAUGAAAUAAAAACUGUUUUUAUAUUGAAUAUUUUAUAUUGAGUAUUUAAUAAAGAUACAUAUGGAUAAUAUUGCAAAAUGUCCACAUCCACACUAUUAUUUACACAUAAAAAUCGUUUUCUUUUUGCAUAUUUCUUCCCGACAAAAACUAUCAAUUAUUGUCCACAGGACGCAUAUCGAUUUUCCGCUGGUUAUGAUCCAUCAAUCAGCAUAUGACUGAUUUAUAAUCGUACAAAUUUCUAUUCUCUUAACUUAAAGGAAUCAAUUAUUUAUGCAAAAAAAAUAAAAAAAUGUCUAAAAAUGAAGUUUCUUAAUAUAAAAAAUUAUCAAAAAAAAAAAAAACAUUUUAAACUUACUCAUAUUUUCAAAAAAUUCUGCAAACAAUAUUAAAGGUGAUCAAAAUUAUUUACAAUGAUUAUAUUCUUUCAAUUUAUUCAAAUGAAAUAUAAAUUCUAUUUAAACAUCUGUAAACCAAACAAUUUUUAUCUUUUUUAAAGACUACAGCAAAUCUAUGUAAUAACAUUAUUUUGGAGAAAACGGUGAAACACGCGAGACGUCUCAAAAAUAGAAUGGAAGUGAAGAAUCGCAAGAGUCUAAAAACUCGUUUGGGAUCCUUGGGUGUCCUCAACGGUUCUUAGUUGUUCUCAAACGGUGCUCUCCGCGUUUCUUCACUGGCUCAAGGCCGUGCAACAAACGGCCGCAUUCACCAGGCUGCAUUCAGCUCCAUACGUGUCGUCUUUUAUGACCAGGCCUUGAAGAAGAUCUGAUAGAGACUGGUUGCCUUCGGCUCGUUGUUACUACUUGUUCGUCUCACUAACGGGAGAUUUAUCGUCUGCUCUCGAUCCAUGUUCAGACGGGUUACAUACAAACAUGAGAGUAAAGAAGAAUUGGAGGAUCACGAGCAUGUACAACCGAUAUUCGUCUUUCCGUAGGACGUAAGAUUCCAAUAAAAAUGCAAAUUCCAUGACGUUCUACGGACCAACUGGCACGACAACGCAACUGAACCGUCUUGUUUACUCGUCAAGAGAGAAAGUUAAAAAGAGGUAUGUACAUAUCCUUCACUAAAGAGAGAGAGCAAUUUCGACGCGAAUCAAGCCCGGAGAAAAAAACGUCGAGACGGUAACGCUAUCCAGGAGUGCUUUGAUGAAAGUUUUACCAGAGCCGAGGCAGCUCUCUCCCUCGGCUCAUCCGACUCGUAUCUCAGUCCAUUUAAUCUUUCACGCCCGUCCUCUU